GUAACGGCGAGUGAAGCGGUAACAGCUCAAAUUUGAAAUCUGGCUCCCUGCGGAGUCCGAGUUGUAAUUUGUAGAAGAUGCUUUGGGUGCACGAUCCGGCCUAAGUGCCUUGGAACAGGACGUCAUAGAGGGUGAGAAUCCCGUAUGCGGCCGGUAUCGACGCCCAUGUAAAGCUCUUUCGACGAGUCGAGUUGUUUGGGAAUGCAGCUCAAAAUGGGUGGUAAAUUUCAUCUAAAGCUAAAUAUGGGCCAGAGACCGAUAGCGCACAAGUAGAGUGAUCGAAAGAUGAAAAGCACUUUGGAAAGAGAGUUAAACAGUACGUGAAAUUGUUGAAAGGGAAGCGCUUGCAACCAGACUUGGGCGUCGCUGAUCAUCCAAAGUUCUCUUUGGUGCACUCGACGACGCACAGGCCAGCAUCGGUUGGGGUGGUGGGAGAAAGACUGCAGGAACGUAGCUCUUUUCGGAGAGUGUUAUAGCCUGCGGUGCAAUACCGCCUACCUCGACCGAGGACCGCGCUUCGGCUAGGAUGCUGGCGUAAUGGUUGUAAGCGACCCGUCUUGAAACACGGACCAAGGGGUCUAACAUCUAUGCGAGUGUUUGGGUGCGAAACCCAUGCGCGAAAUGAAAGUGAACGUAGGUGAGAACCCUUUGAGGGGGCAUCAUCGACCGAUCCUGAUGUCUUCGGAUGGAUUUGAGUAAGAGCAUAGCUGUUGGGA
RNAcentral lists this ribosomal RNA (716 nucleotides) under Phyllactinia juglandis. Its description in RNAcentral is "eukaryotic LSU rRNA". It matches the Rfam family "Eukaryotic large subunit ribosomal RNA", at positions 83 to 814 of the family's 3401-position model. The record is from RNAcentral. Lineage: Eukaryota; Fungi; Ascomycota; Leotiomycetes; Helotiales; Erysiphaceae.